UUGCUUUGGCAGCACAUAUACUAAAACUGGAAUAAUACAAAGAUGUUUAGCAUGGCCCCUAUACAAGGAUGACAUGCAAAUUAGUGAAGCAGUCCAUAUUUUA
Molecule: small nuclear RNA, 103 nt
Organism: Oryctolagus cuniculus (rabbit)
Lineage: Eukaryota; Metazoa; Chordata; Mammalia; Lagomorpha; Leporidae
Source: Ensembl